CGGUGGGACACGGGUAGAGACAUGGAGGUGAGAUGGGAGACGGUGGGACACGGGUAGAGACACGGAGGUGAGGUGGGAGACGGUGGGGACACGGGUAGAGACAUGGAGGUGAGGUGGGAGAUGGUGUGACACAGGUAGAGGCAGCAGGACAUGGGAAGAGACGGUGGGACACGGGGAGAGACAUGGAGGAUGCAGGGGUCACGGCAGGACACAAGGAAACAGGGGACCGGAAUAGCGUGACACGGGGGGAUAGCGACCCGCAGAUGCUCAGGCAACACGAGACAUGGGGAGGGCUGGGUAUGGGGACGUAUGUAUGUGUGUGUGUUGAACUUCUUUCGCACCGUACGUAGCCAACAGUGUUAAUCAGAGGAGACACUGGGACUGCGAGCUCUUGCGAGGGGGUACAUCGAUACCAGAUAAGCACUUAGAACAAGUGUCGUGUACGUGUGGGGGGGGGGGGGGGUGUUCGCUGUUAAGUGUGUACGGACAGCAGUGGGCACUGUAUUCUGGUGUUGCCCAAGUGGCAUGUUCAAUUGGACAAAUCUGUUGUCAGUUAAACAUUGCGUAAUGAAGCAACACGCCACCACAUUUCAAUGAACACAGAGUGAAAAUCUGUUAACCGUUUUAAGCGUUUCACAAAUUACGAUAAUAUAAAAAAGACACAAAUACCUCA
This is a long non-coding RNA of Lethenteron reissneri (Far Eastern brook lamprey), 673 nucleotides long. RefSeq lists it as uncharacterized. The record is from RefSeq and is a predicted model, not a curated record. Lineage: Eukaryota; Metazoa; Chordata; Hyperoartia; Petromyzontiformes; Petromyzontidae.